CAUGCAGUGGUGGGGUCCCUCGGCCUGGCCUGCGCCCUCUCGAAAUCUGAACCCCUCAGGGGAUGUCAGAGAGCCGGUUUCAGCCCGAUCCCGCAGGCCAGGCCGAGGGACCCCACUGGGGCACG
RNAcentral lists this microRNA precursor (125 nucleotides) under Myotis lucifugus (little brown bat). Its description in RNAcentral is "mir-9193 microRNA precursor family". It matches the Rfam family "mir-9193 microRNA precursor family". The record is from Rfam by way of RNAcentral. Lineage: Eukaryota; Metazoa; Chordata; Mammalia; Chiroptera; Vespertilionidae.